GUGGGGAAUUUUGGACAAUGGGCGAAAGCCUGAUCCAGCAAUGCCGCGUGCAGGAAGAAGGCCUUCGGGUUGUAAACUGCUUUUGUACGGAACGAAACGGUCCGGGUUAAUACCCUGGGCUAAUGACGGUACCGUAAGAAUAAGCACCGGCUAACUACGUGCCAGCAGCCGCGGUAAUACGUAGGGUGCAAGCGUUAAUCGGAAUUACUGGGCGUAAAGCGUGCGCAGGCGGUUUUGUAAGACAGGCGUGAAAUCCCCGGGCUCAACCUGGGAAUUGCGCUUGUGACUGCAAGGCUGGAGUGCGGCAGAGGGGGAUGGAAUUCCGCGUGUAGCAGUGAAAUGCGUAGAUAUGCGGAGGAACACCGAUGGCGAAGGCAAUCCCCUGGGCCUGCACUGACGCUCAUGCACGAAAGCGUGGGGAGCAAACAGGAUUAGAUACCCUGGUAGUCC
Molecule: ribosomal RNA, 450 nt
Filed under: uncultured bacterium
Lineage: Bacteria
Description: partial 16S ribosomal RNA
Rfam family: Bacterial small subunit ribosomal RNA
Source: RNAcentral